This 2897-nucleotide ribosomal RNA is filed under the name Clostridioides difficile. Its description in RNAcentral is "23S ribosomal RNA". It matches the Rfam family "Bacterial large subunit ribosomal RNA". Lineage: Bacteria; Bacillati; Bacillota; Clostridia; Peptostreptococcales; Peptostreptococcaceae. The record is from RNAcentral.
GGUCAAGUUAUUAAGGGUGCAGGGCGGAUGCCUUGGCACUAGGAGCCGAUGAAGGACGUGAUAAGCUGCGAUAAGCUUCGGGGAGUUGCACGUAAACUUUGAUCCGAAGAUUUCCGAAUGAGGAAACUCACUUAGAGUAAUGUCUAAGUAUCAUUAAGUGAAUACAUAGCUUAAUGAGGGGAACUCAGGGAACUGAAACAUCUAAGUACCUGAAGGAAGAGAAAGAAAUUCGAUUCCGUAAGUAGCGGCGAGCGAACGCGGAUUAGCCCAAACCAAUAAAGUUUUCUUUAUUGGGGUUGCGGACAUAUCAUAACGAAGAGGUAUCGUAAUUGAAGAGGUUUGGAAAGACCCACCACAGAAGGUAAUAGUCCUGUAUGUUAAACGAGAAGACUUCAGAUAUGAUCCAGAGUACCACGGGACACGUGAAACCCUGUGGGAAGCAGGAGGGACCACCCUCCAAGGCUAAAUACUACCUAGUGACCGAUAGCGUAUAGUACCGUGAGGGAAAGGUGAAAAGAACCCCGGGAGGGGAGUGAAAUAGAACCUGAAACCCUGCACUUACAAGCUGUGGAAGCACAUUUCUUGUGUGACCGCGUACUUUUUGUAGAACGGGCCAACGAGUUACGUUAAGUAGCAAGGUUAAGCACUUAAGGUGCGGAGCCGUAGCGAAAGCGAGUUUUAACUGAGCGUUCAGUUACUUGACGUAGACCCGAAACCGGGCGACCUACCCAUGAGCAGGAUGAAGCGAAAGUAAAAUUUCGUGGAGGUCCGAACCCACGAGCGUUGAAAAGCUCGGGGAUGACUUGUGGGUAGCGGUGAAAUUCCAAUCGAGCCCGGAGAUAGCUGGUUCUCCCCGAAAUAGCUUUAGGGCUAGCCUCAAGGUGAGAGAUACGGAGGUAGAGCACUGAAUGUCCUAGGGGGUAUUGCACCUACCGAAGACUAUCAAACUCCGAAUGCCGUCAUCUUAUACUUGGGAGUCAGACUGUGGGUGAUAAGAUUCAUAGUCGAAAGGGCAACAGCCCAGAUCGUCAGCUAAGGUCCCUAAAUGUAAGUUAAGUGGUAAAGGAUGUGGGAUUGCACAGACAACCAGGAUGUUGGCUUAGAAGCAGCCACUCAUUCAAAGAGUGCGUAAUAGCUCACUGGUCGAGUGAUCCUGCGCCGAAGAUUUCCGGGGCUAAAACUUACUACCGAAGCUACGGCAUCAUUAUGAUGGGUAGGGGAGCUUCCCAUACGGGUUGAAGCAUGACCGUAAGGACAUGUGGACAGUAUGGGAGUGAGAAUGUUGGCAUGAGUAGCGAGAUGUGGGUGAGAAUCCCACAGGCCGUAAACCCAAGGUUUCCAGGGGAAGGUUCGUCCGCCCUGGGUUAGUCGGGACCUAAGCUGAGGCCGAAAGGCGUAGGUGAUGGACAACAGGUUGAUAUUCCUGUACUACCGAUAACCGUUUGAGAGAAGGGAUGACACAGUAGGAUAAGCUAAGCACACUGUUGGUUAUGUGUGCCCAAGCAUUGAGGCAGUCAAAGCAGGCAAAUCCGCUUUGAUAAUGCUGGGAUGUGAUGGGGAGCGAAAUUUAGUAGCGAAGUAGCUGAUUUCACACUGUCAAGAAAAGUCUCUAUCGAGGUUAAAGGUACCCGUACCGCAAACCGACACAGGUGGGUGAGGAGAGUAUCCUAAGGCCAGCGAGAGAACUGUUGUUAAGGAACUCGGCAAAAUGACCCCGUAACUUAGGGAUAAGGGGUGCCACCAUCCGGUGGCCGCAGAGAAUAGGCCCAAGCGACUGUUUACCAAAAACAUAGGUUUCUGCUAAGUCGCAAGACGAUGUAUAGGAGCUGACGCCUGCCCGGUGCUGGAAGGUUAAGGGGAUCUGUUAGAGCAAUCGAAGCAGUGAACUUAAGCCCCAGUAAACGGCGGCCGUAACUAUAACGGUCCUAAGGUAGCGAAAUUCCUUGUCGGGUAAGUUCCGACCCGCACGAAAGGCGUAACGAUUUGGGCACUGUCUCAACAACAGACUCGGUGAAAUUGUAAUUCCGGUGAAGAUGCCGGAUACCUGCGACAGGACGGAAAGACCCCAUGGAGCUUUACUGUAGCUUGACAUUGGGUCUUGGUACUACAUGUACAGGAUAGGUGGGAGGCUUUGAAACCAGGACGCCAGUUUUGGCGGAGCCAUCCUUGGGAUACCACCCUUGUAGUACUGGGACUCUAACCAUAGGCCAUGAAUCUGGUCUUGGGACACUGUCAGGUGGGCAGUUUGACUGGGGCGGUCGCCUCCCAAAAGGUAACGGAGGCGCUCAAAGGUUCUCUCAGUACGGUCGGAAAUCGUACGUAGAGUGUAAAGGCAAAAGAGAGCUUGAUUGCAAGACAUACAGGUCGAGCAAGGAUGAAAAUCGGACUUAGUGAUCCGGUGGUUCUGCGUGGAAGGGCCAUCGCUCAACGGAUAAAAGCUACCCUGGGGAUAACAGGCUUAUCUCCCCCAAGAGUCCACAUCGACGGGGAGGUUUGGCACCUCGAUGUCGGCUCAUCACAUCCUGGGGCUGUAGUAGGUCCCAAGGGUUGGGCUGUUCGCCCAUUAAAGUGGUACGCGAGCUGGGUUCAGAACGUCGUGAGACAGUUCGGUCCCUAUCCGUCGCAGGCGUAGGAAAUUUGAGAAGACCUGUCCUUAGUACGAGAGGACCGGGAUGGACGUACCUCUGGUGUACCAGUUGUUCUGCCAAGGGCAUGGCUGGGUAGCUAUGUACGGAAUGGAUAAGCGCUGAAAGCAUCUAAGCGCGAAGCCAACUUCAAGAUAAGAUUUCCCACCGCAAGGGUAAGACCCCAGAAAGACUAUCUGGUUGAUAGGUCGAAGGUGUAAGUGCAGCAAUGUAUUUAGCUUAUCGAUACUAAUAGGUCGAGGACUUGACCAA